UGACAUUAUCCUUGUCAGGUGUCUGCCACUUUGAAUCAUUUUCUUUACUUUCUUCAGUUUCUUUAUUCUGUGACUGAGCAGAUAAAUUUGCUAGAAAUGCUUCAGUGGAGACAUCGGGAGGUUUUCCCUUAAGACUAAGUCCUAACAAAGUUCCAGCAUUUCUUGUAGCACUUGAGGACCCUACAACUGCUGCAUCUGCAGGUCCAACAGUAGCAUUAGUGGACUCUUGCGUAUCAUCUGAACUAGCCUUUGUUUCACUAACUUCAGCAGUUACUUCGUCAACAUCCAUGUUUUCUUCUUUUAAGGUUGCUUGCUCAUUUAAUAAAGGUAUGUCUUCACUAGGACUUGCUUCUGGCUUACUUUGUUCAGAUACCUGUCCUGUCGUACCCAAAAGGCUUUGAAGAAUGUCAUCCACUGGCAAUGGUUUAUUUGCUAGCUCCAAAGUAGAAGGCUGAUUCUCCCACCCAACUAGAACACCAGGAAGAAAUCGGAGAGGCUUUGGUGGUUCAUGCUUGGUACUUUCCACCAACGGUUCAAUAACUGCUGGAACAUCUUCUAUAUUAGACUGUUGAGGUUUAUUUCUCUGCUUGUGUAGCACAGUUGUAAAAGAAUUAAAAAAAUCAUUUUCCUCUUCUUCUUCUAGUGCCAGUUCAUUAUGAGAGACUUCAGGUUUGCUUGGCUUGCUUUUCUUUUCUGGUGGCACACUACUCAAGGUACUUUCAGAAACUUCAUCCACAAAACUACUAGUAACACUUGUAACAGCAGAAAUCUGUCUCUUCAUUUUCUGUCGAAUUAUCAAACCCAGUAAUAAAUUUGGUCGAUGAAUUUCAAUCCCAGGCCCAUCAAAAGGCACGAGAUGAUGUGGGACUUUAUCUGAGGAACCUAACGGGAUGAGAUACAAAUCUUUGACUUGCUUCAUGUUAUUGGCAGCUACACCGUAACGUUUUCUACUGCUGAAAUAGGCAAAUAACAAAGCAUAGGAUAUCUGAUCCUCUUCAGUUACAGGGGUAAAGCGAACUACGCAGAUUUCCUUGGUCCCUGAGGCUUUGAUUUUUUCUACAUACUCCCAGACAGUGUGAGGGGAUAUCCUGCCACCUACCUGAAUACUAUCAGGUAAGUCCUCCGUUAAAUACUCAAAAGAGCCAGAAACUGGAUAAGCCUUGAUAACGAACUUUGCCACGGAAGGCAUGUUGAUGAAACCCUUCCAGAUGAAAUUCAGACGUGCCAGAAACAGACUUUCAC
RNAcentral lists this long non-coding RNA (1242 nucleotides) under Gallus gallus (chicken). Lineage: Eukaryota; Metazoa; Chordata; Aves; Galliformes; Phasianidae. The record is from RNAcentral.